Molecule: ribosomal RNA, 402 nt
Filed under: uncultured bacterium
Lineage: Bacteria
Description: bacterial SSU rRNA
Rfam family: Bacterial small subunit ribosomal RNA
Source: RNAcentral
AGGGAAUAUUAGAAAUGGACGAAAGUCUGAUCUAGCAACACCGCGUGUGCGAAGAAGGCCUUCGGGUCGUAAAGCACUUUUUGGAAGGAAUAGGAAGGAAUGUACUUCCAGAAUAAGUCUCGGCUAACUACGUGCCAGCAGCCGCGGUAACACGUAGGAGGCAAACGUUAUCCGGAUUUACUGGGCGUAAAGCGCGUGUAGGUGGUUCUGUAAGUAGGGCGUGAAAGCUCCCGGCUCAACUGGGAGAUGCCGUUCUAAACUGCAGAGCUAGAGGAUGGUAGAGGGAGGUGGAAUUCCAGGUGUAGCGGUGGAAUGCGCAGAUAUCUGGAGGAACACCAGUGGCGAAGGCGGCCUCCUGGACCAUUCCUGACACUCAGACGCGAAAGCUAGGGUAGCAAACGG